GAUGAACGCUAGCUACAGGCUUAACACAUGCAAGUCGAGGGGAAACGGCAUUGAGUGCUUGCACUCUUUGGACGUCGACCGGCGCACGGGUGAGUAACGCGUAUCCACCCUUCCCAUUACUGUGGGAUAACCUGCCGAAAGGCAGACUAAUAACGCUUAGUAUUCGCUUACGGCAUCAGAUUUGAAGUAAAGAUUUAUCGGUAAUGGAUGGGGAUGCGUCUGAUUAGCUUGUUGGCGGGGUAACGGCCCACCAAGGCGACGAUCAGUAGGGGUUCUGAGAGGAAGGUCCCCCACAUUGGAACUGAGACACGGUCCAAACUCCUACGGGAGGCAGCAGUGAGGAAUAUUAGUCAAUGGACGGAAGUCUGAACCAGCCAAGUAGCGUGCAGGAGGACGGCCCUAUGGGUUGUAAACUGCUUUUGUAUGGGGAUAAAGUUAGGGACGUGGCCCUAUUUGCAGGUACCAUACGAAUAAGGACCGGCUAAUUCCGUG
This 492-nucleotide ribosomal RNA is filed under the name uncultured bacterium. Its description in RNAcentral is "partial 16S ribosomal RNA". It matches the Rfam family "Bacterial small subunit ribosomal RNA", at positions 28 to 507 of the family's 1533-position model. The record is from RNAcentral.